RNA transcript from Propithecus coquereli (Coquerel's sifaka), 1599 nucleotides. It is a transcript of the gene named ATP synthase subunit alpha, mitochondrial pseudogene, with no coding region annotated. The transcript is spliced from 2 exons. The record is from RefSeq and is a predicted model, not a curated record. Lineage: Eukaryota; Metazoa; Chordata; Mammalia; Primates; Indriidae.
AUGUCUGUGGCCCGUGCCCUCCCUCAGCAGGCAGGGCUGGUCUCUAGAAAUGCUUUGGGUUCAUCCUUCAUGGCUGCAAGGAACCUCCAUGCCUCUCACAUUCAUCUUCAGAAGACUGGCACUGCUGAGAUGUCCUCUAUUCUUGAAGAGCAUAUCCUUGGAGCUGAUAUCUCUGCUGAUCUUGAUAAAACUAGGCAUGUCUUAAGUAGAGGUGAUGGUAUUGCCCAAGGACAUGGGCUGAGGAACAUUCAAGCAGAAAAAAUGGUAGAGUGGUCUUCAGGCUUAAAGAGUAGGUCUAUGAACAUGGAGUCUGACAAUGUUGGUGUUGUCAUGUUUGGAAAUGAUCAACUAACUACAAUACUGUGAAGAGGACCAGAGCCAGGAAUCAUUCCUUGAAUUUCUGUGAGGGAAUCGGCGAAGACCGGCAUGAAGCCUGUGGCUAGCUUGGUGCCAAUUGGUCGUGGUCAGUAUGAGCUGAUCACUACUGCCAGACACACUGAGAACACAUUUCAAUCAUGGAUCUGAUGAAAAGAAGAGAUUCUACCGAAUCUGUGUUGCUGUUGGUCAAGAGAGAUCCACUGUUGCCCAGUAGGUGAAGAGGCAGAUGGCAUGAAGUACACCAUCGAGGUGUCAGCUGGGGCUCUGGAUGCUGCCCCCCUGCAGCACUCAGCUCCUUAUUCUGAACGUUCUAUGGUAGAGUAUUUUAGAGAUAAUGGCAAACUUGCUUUGGUCAUCUACGAUGACUUGCCCAAACAGGCUGCUGCUUACCAUCAGAUAUCUCUGCUGCUCUACACACCCGUUGGUCACGAGGCCUGUCCCAGUGAUGUGUUCUACCCACGUUCCCAGUUGCUGGAGAGAGCAGCCAAGAUGAAUGAUGCUUCUGGUGGUGGCUCCUUGAUUGCUCUUCCAGUCAUAAAACACCGGCUGCUAACGUGUCUGAUUACAUUGCAAUGAGUGUCAUUUCCAUCACUGAUGGACAGAUCUUGGAAACAGAAUUGUUCUAGAAAGGUAUCUGCCCCACCAUUAACAUUGGUUCAUCUGUGUCCUGUGUCAGAUCUGCUGCCCAAAUCAGGGCUAUGAAGCAGGUGGCAGGUACCAUGAAGCUGGAAUUGGCUCAGUAUUGUUGCCGCUUUUGCCCAAUUUUGUUCUCACCUUGAUUCUGCCACUCCACGAUGCUUCAGUUGUGGUGUGUGAGCUGACUGAGUUACUGAAGCAAGGGCAAUAGUCUCCCAUGGCUAUUGAAAAACAAGUGGCUUACACCUAUCAAGGUGAAAAGGGGUAUUUUGAUAAACUGGAGCCCAGCAAGAUCACAAAGUUUGAGAAUGCUUUCUCAUGUCAUGUUAUCAGCCAACACCAAGCCCUGUUGGACAAUAUCAAGGCUGACAGAAAGCUCUCAGAAAAGUCGGAUGAAAAGCUGAAAGGGAUUGUAACAAACUUCUUGGCUGGAUUUGAAGCUUAAACUCCUAUGGAUUUACAUGAAAUAGCAGUUUGGUUUUGUCAUUUUUUUUCUCCUAGUAAAUCAGUUCCAUUUGUAAAAGGAUUACUCUCAUACUCCUGAUGUACAGAAAUCACGUUAAAAAUAAAGGUUCCAUAUGGCAU